CCUACGGGAGGCAGCAGUGGGGAAUACUGCACAAUGGGCGGAAGCCUGAUGCAGCGACGCCGCGUGAGGGAUGACGGCCUUCGGGUUGUAAACCUCUUUCAGCAGGGACGAAGCGUGAGUGACGGUACCUGCAGAAGAAGCGCCGGCCAACUACGUGCCAGCAGCCGCGGUAAU
RNAcentral lists this ribosomal RNA (174 nucleotides) under uncultured actinomycete GT45-1. Its description in RNAcentral is "partial 16S ribosomal RNA". It matches the Rfam family "Bacterial small subunit ribosomal RNA", at positions 338 to 524 of the family's 1533-position model. Lineage: Bacteria; Bacillati; Actinomycetota; Actinomycetes; Actinomycetales. The record is from RNAcentral.